Molecule: ribosomal RNA, 253 nt
Filed under: uncultured bacterium
Lineage: Bacteria
Description: partial 16S ribosomal RNA
Rfam family: Bacterial small subunit ribosomal RNA
Source: RNAcentral
GACGAACCGUGCGAACGUUGUUCGGAAUCACUGGGCUUAAAGGGCGCGUAGGCGGAUUCCCAAGCCCGGGGUGAAAGCUUUCGGCUUAACCGGAAAAGGGCCCCGGGGACUGGGGAUCUAGAGGGGGGCAGGGGCCCGCGGAACUUCGGGUGGAGCGGUGAAAUGCGUUGAGAUCCGAAGGAACGCCGGUGGCGAAAGCGGCGGGCUGGACCCCUACUGACGCUGAGGCGCGAAAGCCAGGGGAGCAAACGGG